UACGAAGGGUGCAAGCGUUAAUCGGAAUUACUGGGCGUAAAGCGCGCGUAGGUGGUUCAGUAAGUUGGAUGUGAAAGCCCCGGGCUCAACCUGGGAAUUGCAUUCAAAACUGGCUAACUAGAAUACGGGAGAGGGGGGUAGAAUUCCAAGUGUAGCGGUGAAAUGCGUAGAGAUUUGGAGGAAUACCAGUGGCGAAGGCGGCCCCCUGGCCCGAUAUUGACGCUGAGGUGCGAAAGCGUGGGGAGCAAACAGG
This 253-nucleotide ribosomal RNA is filed under the name uncultured bacterium. Its description in RNAcentral is "partial 16S ribosomal RNA". It matches the Rfam family "Bacterial small subunit ribosomal RNA", at positions 524 to 776 of the family's 1533-position model. The record is from RNAcentral.